GUGGGAGUGGCGGAACCGGCAGACGCACCGCGUCGAGAGCGCGGCGAUCAUCAUCGUGUGGGUUCAACUCCCACCUCCCACA
RNAcentral lists this transfer RNA (82 nucleotides) under Planctomycetota bacterium. Its description in RNAcentral is "tRNA-Leu". It matches the Rfam family "tRNA". Rfam says of the family: Transfer RNA (tRNA) molecules are approximately 80 nucleotides in length. Their secondary structure includes four short double-helical elements and three loops (D, anti-codon, and T loops). Lineage: Bacteria; Pseudomonadati; Planctomycetota. The record is from RNAcentral.